GUCCUCUGGUCAGUUGAUUAGAGCGCUGCACCGGAAUCGCAGGGCCGUAGGUUCAAUUCCCACCAGAGGACC
Molecule: transfer RNA, 72 nt
Filed under: Paramuricea clavata
Lineage: Eukaryota; Metazoa; Cnidaria; Anthozoa; Malacalcyonacea; Plexauridae
Description: tRNA-Ser
Source: RNAcentral